This 622-nucleotide long non-coding RNA is filed under the name Malus domestica (apple). RNAcentral's name for it is "long non-coding RNA (MDOM_LNC021169)". The record is from RNAcentral. Lineage: Eukaryota; Viridiplantae; Streptophyta; Magnoliopsida; Rosales; Rosaceae.
UGUAUGUGAUGCCUUUGCAAAGUGGCGGGGAAGUUCCAUCCAUGCAAAGAACUCCGAAUGGUUUGGUGCGUCGGCGCAAGAUGUUUGGCUUCAAAAUGGCCUUCUAGGUUUUAAGCAUCAUGAAUUCAUGGAAGAGUACCAGUGUCCUUUGCAGUCGCCAAGAACCCUGUUAUUUGAGCUGUAUAGAUUUGCAUGGAAGAGACACUUCAAUCGGGGCAAAGAUUUCAGCAGGAGAUUGAAAAUUUAGGGUUUUUAAUUUUUAAUUUUUAAUUUUACAUAAUUAAAUUAAAUGGGUAAAUGGAUAACCGUUAUAAUCGCAGGUAAUACCUAUAACCGUCCAUUUAAAUUUCAUGGAUAAACAGUUAUACUCAUAACCGUUAUAACCGUUUGUUCGUCUAAAAGAUUACUCAUAACCGUAACCAUGAACUUUAAAUAGACGGGUAACCAUGGUUAUCCAAACCCAUUGGUAUUUUACCCAUCCCUAUAGUGCUCGGGAAUUUUAUUUCACUAUUGGUUUUUGUAAAUAUUUAAGUUUUUAAAGUUAUAAAUAAGGAUUUAUGAAAGUUUAAUAAAAAGUUGAAAACCUAUUAGAUAUUUAGGAACAAAAUUGCAAGAUAGGAGG